GGGCAGUCUGCCUUCCUGUGUCCUCAUAAUUCUAAAUUAUGUCCUUGCCAUUGGCUGGGAUAAUAGCCCCAGAUAAGAGGGAGCUUUUGCAUGACCUUGGCUCUGACAGACGCUCAGGAGAACCAAGUCUGUAUAAACCUGAGGGGAGAAAUGACAACUCGGCGGCUCGAAGGAACACACAGUCCUGUCUCCAAACACCAAGAGACGAUGAGUCACAAACCAGUGAGCAGAUUUUAGAGAGUGGGGUGGGCUACCUAUUUGCCUUUUUUUUUUUUUUUUUUUUUUUUAAGGAGAGAGAAAGACAUGCCGCCAGCGUUGGAGCGCAGUGAUCUGUGAGAUAAUGAUGGAAAGCAGACAGGGGAAGCCAGGUUAUAAAAAUGUUGGGCAGGAGAUAAGGGGUCCAGGUGGUCAGGAGCAGUGGAGCUGGCCUGAGAGAAGACUGACUCUGGCUAAUGAAGGCCUGUGGCCACAUUCCUGGAGAACAGUGGGAGAGGAAGCCGUGGAGCCAGGAAGUGUCUGUCGGCGGGAACUAAUCCUGGUCACAUUACUACACAAAUGUCCCGGCGACUUCACACCAGUCCUGCUGGUCUCUGCAAACUUCCAGGUGGGGUCUGCUGCUGCUGCCAUUGCCUCUGUUGUUGUUGCUGCUGCUGGGGCUGCUGCCACCACUCACACUGCUCGUUCUGCUGAAACAGGGAGAGCGUGGAACUUCUGCACUACCCGAGGGCUGCAAACACAGUGGCUGUGCCUGGAUUACCCUCGUGUCAGCCAGCAUAGAGGGCAGGAUGAUACACAGUCUGGAACUCAUGCAGGUCCUGCUCCAGACACACUGCCCAACUGCGCGAUAACCCUGACUCUUAACAACAAGAUAGCUGAGAUGAAGAAUCGUUCAUGUUUUGGAUCAAGUCUCUACGAAAGACUGAUGUCUGUGAUUUAUGCUGCUCUCCCCCAGCCACCGUGCAGAGGUCAUGCUGAUGUCUGUGGUCUGUGCUGCCACUGGAAGCCAGUGUUGAGGUCCGUGGUCUGGAGACCAGGUUGAUGUGAGAAAACAUGUUGAUGUCUUUGGUCCAUUGUUGCUACUAGAGACCAUGAUAAUGUCCAUGAUCUGUGCUGGGGCUAGAGAGGUUGAUGUCUGUGAUCUGUACUGCUGCCGGCUACUAUGGGCAGGAAAGCUUCUUUUGCAGUGGUAUUGAUGACUGCAGACUCAUACCUGAGAGUGAGAGACAUAGGUGGCUUCUCAUUCUUUGCCAACCUCCGCUCACCCCCUAUCCCAGAAAAGAAACAGUUCAGGCAUCAAGCUAUAGAAGAGAGUAAUAAAGAUGCUGAAGUAUAGCUCUUCA
Molecule: long non-coding RNA, 1340 nt
Filed under: Mus spicilegus (steppe mouse)
Lineage: Eukaryota; Metazoa; Chordata; Mammalia; Rodentia; Muridae
Description: lncRNA (ENSMSIG00000013761.1)
Source: RNAcentral